AUGUUUCGAGGACCCUAUUUUACGCCGAGUUAUGGUCCUGGCCCUCACGUAAGCCAAGGACAGAAUUCUGCUGCCCUCUACCCUCUGCAAACGUUGAUGAAUGCCGAUCCGCCCUCCCGGACGGCCUCUCUCGCCUUCGUCGCGAGCGCCGCCGCCCUCGUCCGCCUCUCCACCGCCUCGUCUCCUCCGCCCAUGAUGCUCCUCACCGCCUUCUCCACCGCCCCUCGCUCCACCACCGCCACCUCCCCGUCCUCCUCCUUCAACCACUCCACCCCGACGCUCACGCCGAACUGGUGGGCCAUGUGUGGCCAUGUCACCACCGGGAGCCCGACCGCGACCGCCUCCAUCGUCGAGUUCCACCCGCAGUGCGUCAUGAUGCCGCCCACCGACGCGUGGGACAAGAUCAGUUGUUGCGGUGCCCAGCCCUUGAUCAGCAGCCCGCGGAAUCCGCGGACUUCCUCGUCCUGGUCCUGCCCGGCGUUCUCCGGUGAUACCACCCAAAUGAACGGGUGCCCCGACGCCUCGAGGCCGAGCCCGGUCUCCAUGACCUGCUCGGGGCGCCCGUGCAAGACGCUGCUCCCGAAGCUGACGUAG
RNAcentral lists this ribosomal RNA (594 nucleotides) under Triticum aestivum (bread wheat). RNAcentral describes it as "partial small subunit ribosomal RNA". Lineage: Eukaryota; Viridiplantae; Streptophyta; Magnoliopsida; Poales; Poaceae. The record is from RNAcentral.